AUAUUUAUCUGGACAGGAACAAUGAUUGAUCAUAAAGAUUUAUGGCCUAGGCUGAUGAUUUUUACUGUACUUUCGAGGGGUGCCCAUUUAAAAUCGACCCAAAUAAUUGAACCUACAUCAAAUCAUAAUUUGUGACAACAAGAGCCUAUACGUUCGUGCGGCACCUA
This 167-nucleotide small nuclear RNA is filed under the name Solanum tuberosum (potato). RNAcentral's name for it is "snRNA U1". It matches the Rfam family "U1 spliceosomal RNA". From Rfam's summary of the family: U1 is a small nuclear RNA (snRNA) component of the spliceosome (involved in pre-mRNA splicing). Its 5' end forms complementary base pairs with the 5' splice junction, thus defining the 5' donor site of an intron. There are significant differences in sequence and secondary structure between metazoan and yeast U1 snRNAs, the latter being much longer (568 nucleotides as compared to 164 nucleotides in human). Lineage: Eukaryota; Viridiplantae; Streptophyta; Magnoliopsida; Solanales; Solanaceae. The record is from RNAcentral.